GCUUCAGCGUGACUUCUUUCUCGCGUGGAGCCAAGAACCAAGGUCUAUCUCUCCCCAGAGAGAUCUAACAGUCCCCGCCAUGGCAACCGACUGAGCAGUCCUACUGUGCACCCACAAAGUGACCAGGAACCAGAAUCCACCGGACAGCAACUGGCAGCAGAAGUUGAGGCAGCGCUAAUCUACAUCGUAAAGGAGGCUGUGAGUUCUCAGGAAGGCCGCAGACCAGGACAAGGUGUCAUCAGUGGACGUCAAGGGUCUGCAGCUGGAACAGCACCCAACAAGGAGAAGGCCAAGGAGGAGGAGCAUGGUGAACAAGAAAUACAUGUGAUUCACUGAAAAUCAUGCGACACACUACAUGAAUGGCCACAACUCCGUGUGGCAGAAGGAUGGUCUCUCCAACAAGUCUGAGUUCUACACCUGGAGCCUGGGAUAAAUUAUACGGCAUAAGGGAAUUUAGGUAGCAGAUGGAAUUAAAGUUGCAUCUGGUCUUAAAAUGGAGAAAUCAUCUUGGAGUAUCUGAGUGAUACAAUGUGAGAACAAACUGGUUUGCUUCUGCAAUUCUGGAGGAGGAGGAAGAGGGUCACGGGACAAGGAAUGAAAGUGGUCCCUAUGAGCUAGAAAAGGCAAGACUCAGAGGCUACAAAGAGGAAGAUAAAUUAGAAAACAAUUUCAGAGCUUCAAUUUCUCAAAGUUCUAGUCCACUUAUUAUGCAACUAGAUGUGAGUUCCUCAUUUGUAAAAUGCUGGCAUUCCACUUACUAGUUUCUUAGGUACUUGUCAGUUCUGGGAUAGUGUGAUAGAAGUUUUGUUGUGUAUUCUGUUCUUCGGGUGAAACCCAUGCCUACAUAUAAAUGUACCAGUUGCUUUUGAAAUGUUA
Molecule: long non-coding RNA, 876 nt
Organism: Echinops telfairi (small Madagascar hedgehog)
Lineage: Eukaryota; Metazoa; Chordata; Mammalia; Afrosoricida; Tenrecidae
Exons: 3
Source: RefSeq, a predicted model, not a curated record